This is a non-coding RNA of Cercocebus atys (sooty mangabey), 496 nucleotides long. NCBI's taxonomy places the organism in Eukaryota, Metazoa, Chordata, Mammalia, Primates, Cercopithecidae. The record is from the annotation of a RefSeq genome assembly.
GGACUCCUCAGGUCACCUUCUCACAAUGAGGCUCCCUGCUCAGUUACUGGGGCUGCUAAUGCUCUGGCUCCCUGGAUCCAGUGGGGACAUUGUGAUGACCCAGACUCCACUCUCCCUGCCCGUCACCCCUGGAGAGCCGGCCUCCAUCUCCUGCAGGUCUAGUCAGAGCCUCCUGCAUAGUAAUGGAUACAACUAUUUGUAUUGGUACCUGCAGAAGCCGGGCCACUCUCCACAGCUCCUGAUGUAUUUUGCUUCAUACCGGGCCUCUGGAGUCCCAGACAGGUUCAGUGGCAGUGGGUCAGGCACUGAUUUCACACUAGAAAUCAGCAGGGUGGAGGCUGAGGAUAUUGGGGUUUAUUAUUGCAUGCAAACCUUCACCCUCAUAAGCAACAGCAGAAUGAGGAGGUUCAAGGACGCUGUGAGUAACAAAUUGGGACAAAAGGAAAAGGAGAAUGGAAUCUCAUCUGAAUCCUCCUUCCUUGCCUACAUUUGUUGA